This 1368-nucleotide ribosomal RNA is filed under the name uncultured bacterium. Its description in RNAcentral is "bacterial SSU rRNA". It matches the Rfam family "Bacterial small subunit ribosomal RNA", at positions 28 to 1381 of the family's 1533-position model. The record is from RNAcentral.
GACGAACGCUGGCGGCGUGCCUAAUACAUGCAAGUAGAACGCUGAAGAGAGGAGCUUGCUCUUCUUGGAUGAGUUGCGAACGGGUGAGUAACGCGUAGGUAACCUGCCUGGUAGCGGGGGAUAACUAUUGGAAACGAUAGCUAAUACCGCAUAAAAUUGAUUAUUGCAUGAUAAUUAAUUGAAAGAUGCAAUUGCAUCACUACCAGAUGGACCUGCGUUGUAUUAGCUAGUUGGUGAGGUAACGGCUCACCAAGGCGACGAUACAUAGCCGACCUGAGAGGGUGAUCGGCCACACUGGGACUGAGACACGGCCCAGACUCCUACGGGAGGCAGCAGUAGGGAAUCUUCGGCAAUGGGGGGAACCCUGACCGAGCAACGCCGCGUGAGUGAAGAAGGUUUUCGGAUCGUAAAGCUCUGUUGUAAGAGAAGAACGGGUGUGAGAGUGGAAAGUUCACACUGUGACGGUAUCUUACCAGAAAGGGACGGCUAACUACGUGCCAGCAGCCGCGGUAAUACGUAGGUCCCGAGCGUUGUCCGGAUUUAUUGGGCGUAAAGCGAGCGCAGGCGGUUAGAUAAGUCUGAAGUUAAGGCUGUGGCUUAACCAUAGUAUGCUUUGGAAACUGUUUAACUUGAGUGCAGAAGGGGAGAGUGGAAUUCCAUGUGUAGCGGUGAAAUGCGUAGAUAUAUGGAGGAACACCGGUGGCGAAAGCGGCUCUCUGGUCUGUAACUGACGCUGAGGCUCGAAAGCGUGGGGAGCAAACAGGAUUAGAUACCCUGGUAGUCCACGCCGUAAACGAUGAGUGCUAGGUGUUAGGCCCUUUCCGGGGCUUAGUGCCGCAGCUAACGCAUUAAGCACUCCGCCUGGGGAGUACGACCGCAAGGUUGAAACUCAAAGGAAUUGACGGGGGCCCGCACAAGCGGUGGAGCAUGUGGUUUAAUUCGAGGCAACGCGAAGAACCUUACCAGGUCUUGACAUCCCUCUGACCGCUCUAGAGAUAGAGUUUUCCUUCGGGACAGAGGUGACAGGUGGUGCAUGGUUGUCGUCAGCUCGUGUCGUGAGAUGUUGGGUUAAGUCCCGCAACGAGCGCAACCCCUAUUGUUAGUUGCCAUCAUUGAGUUGGGCACUCUAGCGAGACUGCCGGUAAUAAACCGGAGGAAGGUGGGGAUGACGUCAAAUCAUCAUGCCCCUUAUGACCUGGGCUACACACGUGCUACAAUGGCUGGUACAACGAGUCGCAAGCCGGUGACGGCAAGCUAAUCUCUGAAAGCCAGUCUCAGUUCGGAUUGUAGGCUGCAACUCGCCUACAUGAAGUCGGAAUCGCUAGUAAUCGCGGAUCAGCACGCCGCGGUGAAUACGUUCCCGGGCCU